GAUGAACGCUGCGGCGUGCCUAAUACAUGCAAGUCGAGCGAAUGGAUUAAGAGCUUGCUCUUAUGAAGUUAGCGGCGGACGGGUGAGUAACACGUGGGUAACCUGCCCAUAAGACUGGGAUAACUCCGGGAAACCGGGGCUAAUACCGGAUAACAUUUUGAACCGCAUGGUUCGAAAUUGAAAGGCGGCUUCGGCUGUCACUUAUAGAUGGACCCGCGUCGCAUUAGCUAGUUGGUGAGGUAACGGCUCACCAAGGCAACGAUGCGUAGCCGACCUGAGAGGGUGAUCGGCCACCCUGGGACUGAGACACGGCCCAGACUCCUACGGGAGGCAGCAGUAGGGAAUCUUCCGCAAUGGACGAAAGUCUGACGGAGCAACGCCGCGUGAGUGAUGAAGGCUUUCGGGUCGUAAAACUCUGUUGUUAGGGAAGAACAAGUGCUAGUUGAAUAAGCUGGCACCUUGACGGUACCUAACCAGAAAGCCACGGCUAACUACGUGCCAGCCGCCGCGGUAA
RNAcentral lists this ribosomal RNA (514 nucleotides) under uncultured bacterium. Its description in RNAcentral is "partial 16S ribosomal RNA". It matches the Rfam family "Bacterial small subunit ribosomal RNA", at positions 28 to 523 of the family's 1533-position model. The record is from RNAcentral.